UACGAAGGGGGCUAGCGUUGUUCGGAAUUACUGGGCGUAAAGCGCACGUAGGCGGACUACUAAGUCAGGGGUGAAAUCCCGGGGCUCAACCCCGGAACUGCCUUUGAUACUGAUAGUCUCGAGUCCGGAAGAGGUGAGUGGAAUUCCGAGUGUAGAGGUGAAAUUCGUAGAUAUUCGGAGGAACACCAGUGGCGAAGGACGGCCUGC
This 207-nucleotide ribosomal RNA is filed under the name uncultured bacterium. RNAcentral describes it as "partial 16S ribosomal RNA". It matches the Rfam family "Bacterial small subunit ribosomal RNA", at positions 524 to 729 of the family's 1533-position model. The record is from RNAcentral.